This is a long non-coding RNA of Stomoxys calcitrans (stable fly), 1467 nucleotides long. RefSeq lists it as uncharacterized. The record is from RefSeq and is a predicted model, not a curated record. Lineage: Eukaryota; Metazoa; Arthropoda; Insecta; Diptera; Muscidae. The transcript has 3 exons.
UGAAAGUCACAGCUGGUUGGGUUGUGCUCACCCGAACAUUCUGAGAAGUUCCUGGCUGCAUUAUGGAAUGGUCAGAAUCUUCUCUGUUUGUCGAACGAGUGUUAACCAUUGGAGUAAAAGAUUUGCCAAAAUAAAGAAAUGUAAAAUGCAAAAAGAAAAAAGAAAAGCAAAAAGUUGACGAAUGUACUAAACUGCCAAAAGACAAAUGUAAUAAAGAAUAUAGCCGAAAAGGAAAUUUCCUUUACGACUGUGCAAAAGCUGAAUGUAGAAUUAAAAAAAAAACGAAGGUGAAAACCAAAAUAUGGCCAAGAGGAAAUCCCCUCGUGACCUGAAAUGUAAAAUCUGGAAAACUGAAAAAACCAAAAUAUAAAGCUUCUAAAUCCAAAGGACAGAAGCUAGCUGAAGAAAAAUCAAAAGUUCCUAAAAAGCAAACAGCAGAAUGGAAAUGUAUCUGGUAUAUAAAAACUCCUGCUACUAAGGGAAUAAAUCUACCAAAGUAAAAGAAAACAGAAGAGAAAUGGAACUACAAAUUCAUGUAAGGGAUCGGUGGUAGGUAACAAACAAACAAAAAGGUAAGUAAAGGUAAAAUGAUGUACGUAUCGUAUAGUGCCAGUGUAUGCAUGUCCUAAUACAAAUAUUCAUUUUAAUUCCAGGGUUUCGUGAGUGUAAACGCGAAAACAAAAAAAACGAUGAAACAUGGAAGGUUAGCUACGGUGGACAACACGUGGAAACAUAAAUCUUUGUCUGGCCUUACAGCCCAUGGACUAAGCCACGAAUGCGUACGAAGACGAAGAAGAACGUGUAUCCCGUGAUAAAAAAAGGUUUGACAAGCUGAUAUCCCCACCUAACGGGCAAAAGCUCCCUGAUCAACGUAUUGAGGACCUACCCGGAUUAGAGCUCUGAUCCUAGCGCCUACGGUUCCUCUAAAACGGAACUCACUAAAUUUAAGUUGGGACAGAUAACCCUUCUUGUCUCCCCCAGGUCGUCCGUUUUGGUCCGGAGUCCGGCAUUUACCCUUGCAACCCGGGGAGGUUGCAAGCAUCAGGAGCUCCCACGUUGAUUGGAGUGGCGAUGGUGACUGGGCGUGGCUGAUGACCGACGAUAGGUGUAUUGUAAUUAUUCCUUAUUUUGCUUAUACUUCAUAUAUUUUCCAGACUCUCUAUUUAGGCUAUAAAUCCAAUUCAGUUUGUAGGUUAAGCCUUUUUUUUAUUUGUAGGUUAAGCUCUAUUUAGUUUGUAAGUUAAACUCUAUUUAGUUUGUAAGUUACACUCUAUUUAGUUUGUAAGUAACACUCUAUUUAGUUUGUAAGUUAAACUCUAUUUAGUUUGCAAGUUACACUCUGUUUAGUUGGUAAGUUUUAAUCUCAUAUAGUUUUUAGGUUGUAACUUCCUGAUGCACGUAGUUUUUAGGAUUAAUUCGCAUGUAGUUUUUCAAGAUUAAUUGACACGUAGCUUUUAAGAUUGUUCG